This 228-nucleotide ribosomal RNA is filed under the name uncultured bacterium. Its description in RNAcentral is "partial 16S ribosomal RNA". It matches the Rfam family "Bacterial small subunit ribosomal RNA", at positions 568 to 795 of the family's 1533-position model. The record is from RNAcentral.
UGCGCAGGCGGGCUUGUAAGUCAGUGGUGAAAUUCUGCCGCUUAACGGUAGAACUGCCAUUGAUACUGCAAGUCUUGAAUAUGGUUGAGGUAGGCGGAAUGUGUUGUGUAGCGGUGAAAUGCAUAGAUAUGACACAGAACGCCAAUUGCGAAGGCAGCUUACUAAGCCAUUAUUGACGCUGAGGCAAGAAAGCGUGGGGAGCGAACAGGAUUAGAUACCCUGGUAGUC